RNAcentral lists this long non-coding RNA (200 nucleotides) under Elaeis guineensis (African oil palm). RNAcentral's name for it is "long non-coding RNA (EGUI_LNC014359)". Lineage: Eukaryota; Viridiplantae; Streptophyta; Magnoliopsida; Arecales; Arecaceae. The record is from RNAcentral.
GCCUGUAAAGCACUGGGAUAUGUUCUGAAGGUUCACAGUGUGUUUCAGAUCGCCGGGGGUAGGGGCGGGGGGCCAAGGGCUUUGUCAGGGGACACUGGUUCCCACCUGAUGGGACCAUGUCCAAAAGCGCGUCCCCAUCUUUCUUCCUUAUCAUAUACUAUCAUAAUUAAUAUAUUAAUCUCAGGUGGAAGCAUCUUACU